Malania oleifera is the source of this 1171-nucleotide long non-coding RNA. RefSeq lists it as uncharacterized. The record is from RefSeq and is a predicted model, not a curated record. NCBI's taxonomy places the organism in Eukaryota, Viridiplantae, Streptophyta, Magnoliopsida, Santalales, Ximeniaceae. The transcript is spliced from 2 exons.
GACAAAAAUUAAAACUCCUUUUUUACCCCUGUAUGUUGUGCUCGAAAAACAAAAUCCAUCCAUAUGUCCCAAAAUGGAGUAAGCGUUUCUCACCACAGUUGACGCAGAGUGCGUUACAGCCCCUAACCAUGCGUCCGGCCGGCGACCAUCAUCCAUUACUCGACGAAUCAAUAUUCCAAUCGCCCGUCAUCACACCUUCCAGUCGUUGAUUCACUAUCCCCCUGCUGAAAUCGUCCCUUCAAAUGCUCCCACAAUGCUUUAUAAAUAUAAACACCCCCCCCCCCCCAACCAAAUACUUCUACAUGAAUUGAUAUUAACACUGAAUGGUUUGACAAUCCAACGACCGCUCAUCCGAUUUUCCAACCAACGUUUUAGAUUUCUUCUUCCCGAAUACGGGUUCCCCUGGAAGAAACAACAGCCGAGGAUUUCUAAGCUCCUAAUUUCAUCUCUCAGCAUUUCUGUGGUGAUCAAAUCCAUGUUUUUGAGGUGUAUUGGAGCCAAGUCCCUGUUUUGCAGGGAGAACCUACUUGGUGAAGCUACAUUGCUUUUUCUUUUACUUAUUUGAUGUCAUCCACUCCUCUUGAAUUUUUUUCCCCACUUAUGAGCAACCUUUAAGUCCUUCAAGAAAUAUUUUUGUCAAUGGUAACAGUUAUCGACUACAAGAUCGUCAUCAUUAUUGGCACUAAUGACUUUGUGCAGGAAUUUUCUAAAUCUAAGAUCAGCUCUACACAAGCUUGUAUUUGACAUUUUAUAUUGUGAAAUGUCAUGCAACUCUACUUUCAUAGCUGCAGCAUACUUGAAGAGAAAAUAGAGACCAGAAAAGAAAAGUCAUAACACAGUUCAUUUCAUUCCAGUUUUCUACCUGAAGUUGAAGACCAUAUGGUUCAUUACAUACACCACCAUAACAAUGUCGUAAUCAAAAUGCUUUUUUUUUUUUUUUUGGUUUUUUGUGAGCAUCAAACAGUUAAGCUGGACAUAGUCACUAAAAAUGAAUCCCACAAAAUGAAUCUUUAGUAUUUUUUUUUUUUUUUUUUCCCCAUGUUAGUGGAGAGGUAGUUGUUUGUAAAUAUAGAAGAGUGAUGCCGUGAUGCAUGUUGAUCUUGUGAAUCAACUAAGUGUGUAUACACACAUAGAUAUAUAUAUAUAUAUAUAUAUAAUCUUAUUUUAGCAA